AUGCAAUAAAACUUUAGUCAAUAGCACGAUAUGCAAGCACUAGCAAUGAAUGUGUACACUUAUAACGUCUAAUAUGUACUCACAUACAAUGUAUAUAAUAUAUAAGUGAUUUGCAUUGCCUUUGAUUGAAGCAAUGCAUUUUGAUUUAAAGUGGAACUUUAAGUCUUUCCUUCUUCGGCGAUAUAUGUAUAAUCAUGAUAACUCAAUUUGUGUUUAUAAAUAUCGUCGCUAAUUAUCAAUGCUGUUUCCAAGCUAAGCAGUGUCCAUAAAACCAUUUGAUUAGCAUUGAUAAGACACCGAUUGGUCACAACAUGCCUCAAGGGUCGACUUGCGGAGCCGCAUAUUAUUUUAUAAUCAAAAACACACACGGACACACGGGCACACGAUCCAUUCCACCAUAAAGCAAUGCAAAGAACCGAGCUUGAAUUUAUAUGCAAAUAUUAUUUAGAAAAGUACUCUGGCCUUGAAGUGGAUGAGAUGAACAAUUGCUGGAACAACAAUAGCAACUAA
Molecule: long non-coding RNA, 510 nt
Organism: Bactrocera neohumeralis
Lineage: Eukaryota; Metazoa; Arthropoda; Insecta; Diptera; Tephritidae
Exons: 2
Source: RefSeq, a predicted model, not a curated record